Molecule: long non-coding RNA, 1187 nt
Organism: Aplysia californica (California sea hare)
Lineage: Eukaryota; Metazoa; Mollusca; Gastropoda; Aplysiida; Aplysiidae
Exons: 2
Source: RefSeq, a predicted model, not a curated record
AGGAGUAAACCACACCAGAGCACCCGCCAACCACCCACCCACCACCCAUCUGGAAUCUUCGACUUGGAUUAGACAAGACAACGCUGGAGAAGUUUACUUUCCGAAAGCUUUCUUCAGAGGGAGUACUGUGUACUGUAGUCUGUGGUCUAGAAGGGAGCUCUGCCCGGAGACGAUCAUCACUCACUGAAGGUGGAGGUCAAGGAUCUACGUACCUACCUCCCCAUCACAUUAAUUAAAGCGUCCGCUGAGCUGGGUUGAAGCACUAUGGCGUGUCUGCAGAAACGAGGCUCUGAUUCAACGUUCCUCAGCCCAACUCUUAUCCUGAGUUCUCGUGAACCUGACAACUAAACACACGCAAAAAAAAGAAUAAAAAGAUACACACAUUAAAAUUUAUUCCUCCAAGCUGCGGCAACUUUGAGGGAGGCUUAGCGUUAUUUUAUUUGACACGUCUUAGAAUAGACCUUUAAGAUUUGUGAGCGUGUCGUCUUUCAAAAAAAGCCAAGGGAGACGUGCUAUUUUGAAGCCAGUCAGAUAGAAGAUAGGAUGUUUUUUGUUAUACAGACGUACUCCAUAUAGACAGAGAGAUUGCCCCCUCGCAGUUGUUGUAAGCUGGUGCUGAAAAUAGAUAUAAUUAAACUUUGAAAUGAAUGAGAUAUAUUUAUGAGGUGAUCAUCAAGAUAUGCCCUAGAGAAAAGUUCUCAGAAGAAACCCGAAACUGUUUAUGAAGAAUAACUUUAAAAACAUUCAGGAAAAACGUAAUAUGAAAACGAUCAAAGUGAUUUAAGAGAAGAUUACGUAAAUGAAUGCGGGAACUGCUCGAAAAUGAAAGACGAUCUCGUCACAGAAGGACAGAUUUCAGAGUAGAAACAAAAAGUCAGACUGAAAAAUAAACCAACCGACUGAACUGUCGCAUCAGAUUAUACGUCAGAUUGUGAAAUUGUCGUGAAGUUGUCACAUCAGUUUCAUCGUCUGAUUUGUAAAACGGUCACAUCAGAUUCGUCAUCGGAUUGUGAAACUGUCACAUCAGAUUCGUCAUCGGAUUGUAAAACUGUCACAUCAGAUUCGUUGUCCGAUUGUGAAACUGCUGUAUCGGAUUCGUCAGACUUUGGAGAAAAAAAGUGACAGCCGAAAAAGCGUCUGUGGUGACGUCACAUCCACGGUUAUAAAAGCGGAAAGCGGGCCUGUGU